RNAcentral lists this ribosomal RNA (301 nucleotides) under uncultured bacterium. Its description in RNAcentral is "partial 16S ribosomal RNA". It matches the Rfam family "Bacterial small subunit ribosomal RNA", at positions 509 to 807 of the family's 1533-position model. The record is from RNAcentral.
CAGUCGCCACGGUAAUACGUAGGCAGCGAGCGUUGUUCGGAAUUACUGGGCGUAAAGAGCGUGUAGGCGGUGCUCUAAGUUUGGUGUGAAAUCUCCCGGCUUAACUGGGAGGGUGCGCCGAAAACUGGAGUGCUCGAGCGUGGGAGAGGAAAGCGGAAUUCCUGGUGUAGCGGUGAAAUGCGUAGAUAUCAGGAGGAACACCUGCGGUGUAGACGGCUUUCUGGACAAUAGCUGACGCUGAGACACGAAAGCGUGGGUAGCAAACAGGAUUAGAUACCCCUGUAGUCCCUGUCUCUUAUAC